Cherax quadricarinatus is the source of this 266-nucleotide non-coding RNA. Lineage: Eukaryota; Metazoa; Arthropoda; Malacostraca; Decapoda; Parastacidae. The record is from RefSeq and is a predicted model, not a curated record.
AAACAACUGCCCAAAUGUGAUGAAUUCCCACUUAUUGUGGUAUAAAUUGUAGAUACGAAGAUGAUAUGAGGGGGGAGCGUUAAGGAGCUGUGAUCUAUUCGGGUUGAGCACGUCUCCCUGAGUAUCAGAGAUGGUGACUGGGUUUAUCCUUUUAAUGUAGGCUGUGACAAACCAAGAGUCCUUGGGUAGAUACUGGGAUAAAAAUACAUGGAUCAGCAGAGAACUAUAUGGAGAUAAUACAAGGAUCACUGAAGGCCUAAGCAACU